UACGGAAGGCAGCAGUGGGGAAUAUUGCACAAUGGGCGAAAGCCUGAUGCAGCUAUGCCGCGUGUAUGAAGAAGGCCUUAGGGUUGUAAAGUACUUUCAUCGGGGAGGAAAAACAAACUAAUAAUUUUAUUUCUUGACGUUACCCGAAAAAGAAGCACCGGCUAACUCCGUGCCAGCAGCCGCGGUAAUACGGAGGGUGCUAGCGUUAAUCAGAAUUACUGGGCGUAAAGAGCACGUAGGUGGUUUUUUUAAGUUCAGAUGUGAAAUCCCUGGGCUUAACCUAGGAACUGCAUUUUGAAACUGAAAUACUAGAGUAUCGUAGAGGGAGGUAGAAUUCUAGGUGUAGCGGUGAAAUGCGUAGAUAUCUGGAGGAAUACCUGUGGCGAAAGCGGCCUCCUAAACGAAUACUGACACUGAGGUGCGAAAGCGUGGGGAGCAAACAGGGAUUAGAUACC
Molecule: ribosomal RNA, 455 nt
Filed under: uncultured bacterium
Lineage: Bacteria
Description: bacterial SSU rRNA
Rfam family: Bacterial small subunit ribosomal RNA
Source: RNAcentral